RNAcentral lists this ribosomal RNA (274 nucleotides) under uncultured bacterium. RNAcentral describes it as "partial 16S ribosomal RNA". It matches the Rfam family "Bacterial small subunit ribosomal RNA", at positions 523 to 796 of the family's 1533-position model. The record is from RNAcentral.
AUACGGAGGGUGCAAGCGUUGUUUGGAAUUACUGGGCGUAAAGCGCGCGUAGGCGGUCUGUUAUGUCAGAUGUGAAAGUCCUCGGCUCAACCGGGGAAGUGCAUUUGAAACUGGCAGACUUGAGUACUGGAGGGGGUGGUGGAAUUCCCGGUGUAGAGGUGAAAUUCGUAGAUAUCGGGAGGAAUACCGGUGGCGAAGGCGACCACCUGGCCAGAUACUGACGCUGAGGUGCGAAAGCGUGGGGAGCAAACCGGAUUAGAAACCCUAGUAGUCC